CACGUAGGGCGCAAGCGUUGUCCGGAAUUAUUGGGCGUAAAGAGCUCGUAGGCGGCCAACUAAGUCAUACGUGAAAUCCCUCGGCUUAACCGGGGAACUGCGUCUGAUACUGGAUGGCUUGAGGUUGGGAGAGGGAUGCGGAAUUCCAGGUGUAGCGGUGAAAUGCGUAGAUAUCUGGAGGAACACCGGUGGCGAAGGCGGCAUCCUGGACCAAUUCUGACACUGAGGAGCGAAAGCCAGGGGAGCAAACGGG
Molecule: ribosomal RNA, 253 nt
Filed under: uncultured bacterium
Lineage: Bacteria
Description: partial 16S ribosomal RNA
Rfam family: Bacterial small subunit ribosomal RNA
Source: RNAcentral